This 492-nucleotide ribosomal RNA is filed under the name uncultured bacterium. RNAcentral describes it as "partial 16S ribosomal RNA". It matches the Rfam family "Bacterial small subunit ribosomal RNA", at positions 29 to 507 of the family's 1533-position model. The record is from RNAcentral.
AGUGAACGCUGGCGGUAGGCCUAACACAUGCAAGUCGAACGGCAGCACAGUAAGAGCUUGCUCUUACGGGUGGCGAGUGGCGGACGGGUGAGGAAUACAUCGGAAUCUACUUUUUCGUGGGGGAUAACGUAGGGAAACUUACGCUAAUACCGCAUACGACCUACGGGUGAAAGCAGGGGAUCUUCGGACCUUGCGCGAUUGAAUGAGCCGAUCUCGGAUUAGCUAGUUGGCGGGGUAAAGGCCCACCAAGGCGACGAUCCGUAGCUGGUCUGAGAGGAUGAUCAGCCACACUGGAACUGAGACACGGUCCAGACUCCUACGGGAGGCAGCAGUGGGGAAUAUUGGACAAUGGGCGCAAGCCUGAUCCAGCCAUACCGCGUGGGUGAAGAAGGCCUUCGGGUUGUAAAGCCCUUUUGUUGGGAAAGAAAAGCAGCAGGUUAAUACCCCGCUGUUCUGACGGUACCCAAAGAAUAAGCACCGGCUAACUUCGUG